This 415-nucleotide ribosomal RNA is filed under the name uncultured bacterium. Its description in RNAcentral is "bacterial SSU rRNA". It matches the Rfam family "Bacterial small subunit ribosomal RNA", at positions 28 to 317 of the family's 1533-position model. The record is from RNAcentral.
GACGAACGCUGGCGGCAUGCCUAACACAUGCAAGUCGAACGGAGAAAGUUCAACAUAAAGCGUUCAAUCAUUCGAGAGCAGCGGUAAAAAUUUUCGCUUGCGAAAUUUUACUACGCGUUCCAAAGCAUACAACACAUGCAGCGAGGAAUCUUGAGUGCUUUAUGUUGAACUUUCUUAGUGGCGAACGGGUGAGUAACGCGUAGGCAACCUGCCCUUUAGUUGGGGACAACAUCCCGAAAGGGGUGCUAAUACCGAAUGUGACAGUUUUUCCGCAUGGGAUUACUGUGAAAGAUGGCCUCUAUUUAAUAAGCUAUCGCUAAAGGAUGGGCCUGCGUCUGAUUAGCUAGUUGGUGGGGUAACGGCCUACCAAGGCGACGAUCAGUAGCGGUCUGNGAGGAUGAACGGCCACAUUGGG